Molecule: long non-coding RNA, 131 nt
Organism: Dermochelys coriacea (leatherback sea turtle)
Lineage: Eukaryota; Metazoa; Chordata; Testudines; Dermochelyidae
Exons: 3
Source: RefSeq, a predicted model, not a curated record
GGAUCCUGCCCAUCAGGGCUUUCAGUCCAGCCCACAGGAUUGCCAGCACCCGGCACAGUGGGGCUAAGGCAGGCUCCCUGCCUGCCCUGGCCCCAUGCCACUCCCAGAAGUGGCCGGUACCACGUCCCUGC